RNAcentral lists this ribosomal RNA (497 nucleotides) under uncultured bacterium. Its description in RNAcentral is "partial 16S ribosomal RNA". It matches the Rfam family "Bacterial small subunit ribosomal RNA", at positions 28 to 507 of the family's 1533-position model. The record is from RNAcentral.
GAUGAACGCUGGCGGCGUGCCUAAUACAUGCAAGUCGAGCGAACAGACGAGGAGCUUGCUCCUCUGACGUUAGCGGCGGACGGGUGAGUAACACGUGGAUAACCUACCUAUAAGACUGGGAUAACUUCGGGAAACCGGAGCUAAUACCGGAUAAUAUAUUGAACCGCAUGGUUCAAUAGUGAAAGACGGUUUUGCUGUCACUUAUAGAUGGAUCCGCGCCGCAUUAGCUAGUUGGUAAGGUAACGGCUUACCAAGGCAACGAUGCGUAGCCGACCUGAGAGGGUGAUCGGCCACACUGGAACUGAGACACGGUCCAGACUCCUACGGGAGGCAGCAGUAGGGAAUCUUCCGCAAUGGGCGAAAGCUUGACGGAGCAACGCCGCGUGAGUGAUGAAGGUCUUCGGAUCGUAAAACUCUGUUAUUAGGGAAGAACAAAUGUGUAAGUAACUAUGCACGUCUUGACGGUACCUGAUCAGAAAGCCACGGCUAACUACGUG